RNAcentral lists this long non-coding RNA (235 nucleotides) under Volvox carteri. RNAcentral's name for it is "long non-coding RNA (VCAR_LNC002862)". Lineage: Eukaryota; Viridiplantae; Chlorophyta; Chlorophyceae; Chlamydomonadales; Volvocaceae. The record is from RNAcentral.
UCCUCCCCCGGCAAAACGACAGCAUCCGGAACAGGAUCCGCAGCCGAGACGAGACAUAGGUAGAACGUGUCACUCUCCUCCAUGGCCUGCGCAAGUGAGCAAUGCGCAACUGCAUCCAGAACUUCAGGAGAAGAACUAGAUGGCUUAGGAAUCGGCGUAAAGGGACCGUUACGCAAAACAGGACGACCCGAGAUACGAGUUAAACGGGCAGCGUUAUUGCAUAACUCAAGAAUAG